GAUGAACGCUGGCGGCGCGCCUAACACAUGCAAGUCGAACGAUUAAAGCACCUUCGGGUGUGUAUAAAGUGGCGAACGGCUGAGUAACACGUGGGCAACCUGCCCCUUUCAUUGGGAUAGCCACGGGAAACCGUGGAUAAUACCGAAUACUUCGAGACUUCCGCAUGGAAGACUCGAGAAAGCUCCGGCGGAGAGGGAUGGGCCCGCGGCCUGUUAGCUUGUUGGUGGGGUAACGGCCUACCACGGCAAUGAUGGGUAGCUGGGUUGAGAGACCGACCAGCCAGAUUGGGACUGAGACACGGCCCAGACUCCUACGGGAGGCAGCAGUGGGGAAUCUUGCACAAUGGGCGAAAGCCUGAUGCAGCGACGCCGCGUGCGGGAUGAAGGCCUUCGGGUUGUAAACCGCUUUCAGCAGGGACGAGGCGAAAGUGACGGUACCUGCAGAAGAAGCCCCGGCUAACUACGUG
This 467-nucleotide ribosomal RNA is filed under the name uncultured bacterium. RNAcentral's name for it is "partial 16S ribosomal RNA". It matches the Rfam family "Bacterial small subunit ribosomal RNA", at positions 28 to 507 of the family's 1533-position model. The record is from RNAcentral.